RNAcentral lists this non-coding RNA (97 nucleotides) under Staphylococcus microti. RNAcentral's name for it is "Glycine sequence". It matches the Rfam family "Glycine riboswitch aptamer". From Rfam's summary of the family: This family represents the bacterial glycine riboswitch. Glycine riboswitches usually consist of two metabolite-binding aptamers domains with similar structures in tandem. The aptamers cooperatively bind glycine to regulate the expression of downstream genes. The record is from RNAcentral. Lineage: Bacteria; Bacillati; Bacillota; Bacilli; Caryophanales; Staphylococcaceae.
AUGAUCAACAUUAGAGAGAAUGGCUACGUGUCAUCGCCGAAGGAGCAAAUAAUGAUGUCAUUAUGAAACUCUCAGGCAAAAGGAUAAUGUUGUGACG